AGCUGAGUUUGAUCCUGGCUCAGAUUGAACGCUGGCGGUAUGCCUUACACAUGCAAGUCGAACGGUAGAGGAGCAAUCCUCGAGAGUGGCGAACGGGUGAGUAAUACAUCGGAACGUGCCCAGUCGUUGGGGAUAACGUAGCGAAAGCUACGCUAAUACCGCAUACGACCCGAGGGUGAAAGCGGGGGACUCGCAAGACCUCGCGCGAUUGGAGCGGCUGAUAUCAGAUUAGGUUGUUGGUGAGGUAAAAGCUCACCAAGCCGACGAUCUGUAGCUGGUUUGAGAGAACGACCAGCCACACUGGGGACUGAGACACGGCCCAGACUCCUACGGGAGGCAGCAGUGGGGAAUUUUGGACAAUGGGGCGAAAGCCUGAUCCCAGCAAUGCCGCGUGCAGG
This 398-nucleotide ribosomal RNA is filed under the name uncultured Sphaerotilus sp. RNAcentral describes it as "bacterial SSU rRNA". It matches the Rfam family "Bacterial small subunit ribosomal RNA", at positions 1 to 407 of the family's 1533-position model. Lineage: Bacteria; Pseudomonadati; Pseudomonadota; Betaproteobacteria; Burkholderiales; Sphaerotilaceae. The record is from RNAcentral.